GGAGAGACGCCCUUCCACCUCUGGGAGCCUCGGUCUGUUGGGGUCGCGGAGUUCGGGCGCGGCUCCGGGUACCCGAGACCAGCGGCGGCAACUUCUAACACGGGAGAUUUCCCGCCACCCCACCCCGCCGCCGCGAGUCCUCGCGGGGCGUGUUGCGUGCGGAGGUCAGGCUGCCACCCUCUGUAGUUCCCUAACCCCAAACUCGGAGACUUCUAAGAGCCACACCACCAAGGAACUUCUAGUCCUGGAGGUCAAUGGUGGGGCAAACCUCGCCUCAAUUCUUUGACCCCCUCGGGUCGUAAGCAGGGCUAAGAGGCUGCGAAGAAGAGGCCUGGCCAUGGGUGUAUGGGGGAAGAAACAUCUCAGGCUCACUCAUGCCCCCUCCCCGACCUUCUCCCACCUGCCGCCAUCCCCGCAGGCUGGGGAGCCAGGGUAACUCGGGGCUGCUCUCUCGAAUUUAUUGGAACGCCGAGUCGGAAUGAGCUGCGCUAGGAGAGCCGAGGGAAGGAGCGAGAGAGGGAGGGGGCGGCUGCCUGUGGGAACGCGGGUUCUUCCAGGGAAGCGGAGCGGGACUGCCGCGUUCCCCUCGAUUUGCACCGUCACUCGGGUUGUUUGGGAAGAAAAGGGGAGGCGCUGUGCGUGCCACCGGGUACCUGGACCUGGAUGCCCAGUGUGUAUGCAUGCCUGUGGCGCUGCAAUCGACGGGAUUUCUCUGGCUGUCGUUUGCGCUGCAUUUAUCCGAAUACAUCCAGCUCGCAGGCAUCCUGCAAGAAACGGCUCCCGGCUCGCGUGUACGCCGACACCUCGGCCCAACGCAGGACUCGAGGUGGUUUCUAGUGCCCGGGUGGCUGCAAGUCUGCCCUCCGAGGGAGGCUGGACAAGCGGCGCCCCCAGGUCGAGCGGCCUCUCGCUGCCUGGCAGUGCCUGGCAGCCCCCACCUCUGCCAGUGCUUCGGAAACCCGCCUGGCCAGGUUCGCCCGCGGUGAAAAAUGAAAGCAAAUUCCCCAACAGAGGUAGCCGGAACUUUCCUCGACGAAGGCUCCCUCCUGCGCCUGUGUCUGGAGAACCCCCAGAGCGCUGCAAGUUAGCAAGAGAGAUUCGAUGGCGGCUCUGGAAGGCGCACGAAGGGUGGGGCGGGGGAGCAAAGAGGCCACUGGGUGACCCAGCCUGGUCCGGGGUGAAACGCUAGAGAAGGCGCCUCGCCUUCCUUAUUUCAAUGCAACUCCUCGGCCCCAGACGGUAAAAAUAGUUUCCAAGCUGCCGCGGACGCCCAGGAUGUGUUUGCAGAGAUCAAACUGGGGAGGAGGCAGCUUUGUAAAAGUUGCAGAAAGAUUAGCCGAGAAGCGUCCGCCCGGCGGGGCUCAAGAAAGCUUGGGGACAGCUCCAUGUUCCUUGGGGCGGAAUGGCCCAAGAAUUGGCCUGGGUAACCCCCUGCCCAGUUCUCUGUCCUCACUUCGAGCCAGUGCUUAAAUAACUUCCCGCCGCCUGCCCUGCAAACUUCCCGGCGCGGCGCCGUUGAGGCCAGGACACAGCAAAGGCUAGCAAAACCCCGCCGCGGCGCGCUCGGCCCCGGCCCUGAGAGGCUGCGCGGGUGGGAGGACCAGUGUGGUUUCUGCUCCCACUCGGCUGCCCAGACCCUCAAGACCGAUCCCCCAACUCCUGGGAGCGGGUGCUUCCCUCUGGGAGCCGAGAUCUUGCGGGGCCAGCGAGGGCGCAAAGUGCGCGCGCUGGCCCGCGCGGGGGCGGCCGCGCGUCUCUCCGCGGGGCCUGUCGCCAGGCCGGCCGCGGCGCGUGAGUGAUGAGGGCAGAGAAGGGCGCCCAUAAAUCGCGGGUGUCAGGGCGAAAAACUCUCUUUAUUGUCUGCGUGAUGGAUGGGCCCGGGGACGAGACACCAAAUACUUCGUAUCGCCUUUAAAUGGGAACACAUUUUCCGCGGCCAUAAUUCAUGUUUUUUAAAUAGAAAGUUUGAAAUGUUGCCUAUAUUUCACCAGCCCUGACAUAUUUAUGAAUCGCUCCCUGCAUGCAAAUAUCAUUACUUAAAGCGCCGGGGAGAGCGCGGGGGAGGGGAGGAGGCGCGGUUCCCGGGGCGUGGGGGUGGUGAACCGGGGAAAUAUCGGUGGAGGGGGGCCAUCUCCCUAAAGGGCAGAGGGUGAGGUGCGGUGAAUAGCCGUAUCCGGAAACCGAGCGUGCCCCGGGCUUCUUUCCCGCCGCCAGACCCCGCACAGCCGCCCUGGGACGUUUUUCGAGGCUUGGGACCUAAGACGGGUCCCCGGACCCUGCUGGGAAACCAGGGGGCGUUUUUCGUCCCUCUCUGAGGCCAUUAUCCAAGCUGAAACCACCUUUUAUAAGAAAAAAGUUUAAAGAAAAAAAAUUUAACAAACACAAAUAAUAAUAAUAACCCAACAUGUUUCGCGUUCUUUGCCACUGCAUCGAUUUUAUUGAUUUUCAUUCUGCAAACCUGGGAAUGUGCGCGCUCGGGAGGGGAGGCUGUCAAAACCCAGUCAUCGCGGGGACUGGAUGGGGGACAAUUCUCCGACGCCGCGGCCUGGACCCGCCCCCACCCAACCGGCGCACCACCUCCCAGGCACCACGGAGCCUGCGCAAGCUGCGGGGCCGUAAAGGAACCGGCCCCCAAUCUCCGGGGCUUCAGUCCCGCCCCUCUCUCCCCCCAGUGCCCUGCAGCGCUCCCAGGGUCCGUGUCUGCCCUCCCCAAGCCCCCACUGUCAAUACAAUCCCUGUUAAAAAAAAAAAAUCUUUUUAGAGCCAGGCACGUGCCGUCGGCCUCUCCCCUGCCCGCCUGGCCCAGGAGGCGCCCACACCUGCGCCCUCACUUGCCGAGACUUUUACCUGUGCAGUCCCCGGCGGCGCCUGCAGCCGCGCAGGUGCCAUUUAAAAAUUUUGUAUGAAUUAUGUCCUCGCCCACAGCGACUCUCUGAGAUCUGGGGCAUGCCAACUCCUUACUCUGGGGGAGUAUUGGAGGGAGAAUUCUACUUUUCUGAUGGGGGAGUACCAGCCUGUUAACCACAACCAUUUGCAGCUGAAGCCAGUGCAGAGCAGGAGGGAGAUCUGCACAGAGGAGAACAGUAUAAAUGGCAUGGGGUCAUCUCAGCCCCUGGCCAGCUCCCAGCCUAAUGGGAAAACCGGACCAUUGAGCAUUCCUUGCUGUUUCCCUGUAGUCCCAGCCCAAGCCAGCAUGCUCUUUUUUUAAAAAGCAAAUCCAACCAUGUUUCUCUUCUGCUUAAAGGCAUCCGGGUUCCCAUUGUUCUUGAGAACAAGUUGAGCUUGCCUCCCCUGGCUGGCGGGUCUACACUGGCUCUGCCCCAGCUUGCCUUUCUGCCUUUGUCUGCCUCCACACCCCCUCACCUGGAACUCCUGCUACCCAAGGCUUCCUUUUAGUUCCUCAAAUGUGCCAUGCUACUCCCCACCUCAAGGGCUUUGCUCCUGCUUUUCUCUGUCUCUCUGGAAUGACCUGUCCUUCUCUUCACCUGGCUUGCGCAUACUCUUCCUUCAGGUCUCAGCUCACACAUCACUUUCCUGCAUCCUCCCGCCUCCCAUUACCCUCACUUAUAAUAGAAUUUCCUGUUGAGAGUCUGUCCGCUUCACUGGAUGGUAAACUCCCAGGGGGUAGGGACUAGGGCCGUUCCUUCAAGGAACAAAUGAAGAAGGAACAUUUGUAUAAACCACCAACUAUGAUGAACGAAUGAAACUGCCCUUUUUGGGGCCACCAGUAAGUAUUCUCCAUGGUCUCACAUUCCAAGAUGUUCUCAACUUAAUGAGGGCGAUGAUACAAAUCUCAUGAAAACAUAUGUUAUUUUGAAUGCCUUUAUUGUAAAUGUCAAAUAAGGGGAUGCUGGAGGAGGUUGGAGAAGAGGAAUAUGCAUGGAUUACAGCCAUUUAUUCAGGGUUUCAAGAUGCAAGAUGUGUUGGUUGACACAAUUUAAUGGAAAACCAUGCCACCCACGACCAUCUCCCAGUGUUGGGCAUGUAUGUCUCAAGGCUCUAGCCUGCACCCCCUUUCCUCUUCCUUUCUUCACAUAUUAUUGCUAUCACAGUUCAGUUCUUACUAGUUUCUGACUUAACUGCUGCUACAAGAACCUUCUAAUUGUUCUGCCCAUCCUCCACCUCUCCUGCCUCUAAUCCAUCAUACAUACUCCUGCUGGGUUAAUUUUCCUGACCACAUCAUUCCCUUACUCAAAACUCUUCAGUGGCUCCCUAUGAUACAGUGUAACACUUGACUCUUCAUAGCCCACUUCCAAACUACUUUUGUAAAGCUUUAAGAUGCAUUCCAAAAUUAUGAAAGAAACACAUGUUCACCUCAACCAGGAAAACACUCAAAGAUAUACAAAGAAAAACAUCAGUGAUCUUCCUCACCUCCUCUGCAUUUCCCACCCAGUCUCCCAAGACAUCCAUUGUUAAGGACCUGGGGUAUAACUUCUACCUCUUUCACCAUGCUCCAUGCUCAUAAUAAACUAUAUUCAUAUAUGUGGAGCUAUUGUGUUAUUGCCUAUUUAUACAAAAAGGAUUAUAUUAGGGGUCUCUGCAACUCGCUCAUUCAUUCUUAAUAAUAAAUGGGUCUAUAGAUAUGGAAUGAAUAUAUUCAUUUUUUAGCUACAUAGUAAUUUUAAUUUAUUUUUAUUUUUUUUUAAUGUAUGUAUAUAUGUAUGUAUUUUAGACAGGGUCUCACUUUGUUGCCCAGGCUGGAGUGCAGUGGCACAAACAUGGCUCACUGCAGCCUUGACCUUCCAGACUCAAGCGAUCCUCCCGCCUCAGCCCCUCAAGUAGAUGGGACUACAGGUACACACCACCACGCCUGGCUAAUUUUUGUAUUUUUCGUAGAGAUGGGGUUUUUCCAUGUUGCCCCAGCUGGUUUUGAACUCCUGAGCUCAAGGGAUCCACCUGCCUUAGCCUCCCAAACUGUUGGGAUUACAGGUCACCAUGCUGGCCAGCUACAUAAUGUUUCAUAAGAUGUAUAUACUGCACCUAUUCAACCAUUCCCCUAUUAGUGGGCACAUAGAUUGUUACCAGGUUUUUUUUGCUAAUAAAAUUUCUUAUGUCUAUAUCCUUGCAAUUAGUGAUUUUACUUCUCUAGGAUAGUUUACCAAAAGUGCAGCUACUUACACGUCAGCCA
Molecule: long non-coding RNA, 5128 nt
Filed under: Homo sapiens (human)
Lineage: Eukaryota; Metazoa; Chordata; Mammalia; Primates; Hominidae
Description: non-protein coding ZNF503-AS2:27
Source: RNAcentral